RNAcentral lists this long non-coding RNA (1163 nucleotides) under Olea europaea (common olive). RNAcentral describes it as "long non-coding RNA (OEUR_LNC013181)". Lineage: Eukaryota; Viridiplantae; Streptophyta; Magnoliopsida; Lamiales; Oleaceae. The record is from RNAcentral.
UAAAAUGGGGCUCAAACAAGGGCUUAAAAUAGAACAUAAAACAUGUCAUGUUGAACACUUGCCCAAGAAUUGUCCUAUAGUGUCCCUUUCGAAAUUUAAACAUACGUGUUAGACAUAGACAUGUUGCCCGCGUAGGAAUGUCGGUGCAUCACAGUUGAUAUGACAAUGAAGUAAACUAUAUUGAGUAAUAGUUGACAUCUAUCACAUCCCUAUCUCACAUGGGGAGAUCAUAGUUGAAUUUUAUUGUUCAAUCAUUAUUUAGUAACAUUUUGUAUAUUUUGUCUACUUAUGGACAUUUCUAAAUUUUAUCUAUUCUCGUAACGUUCAUUGCCUGCCUGUGUGCAAAAUAAAUAUGAGAAUAUGAUAGAGGAGUACAGAAUUUCUAUAAUAAGUAUGUCCUCAUAUAUUAUAGCUUUGGCGUCCGCUUUUUAUGAGUUAUAGAUGUAUUGGCAGGUAUUCUAACUCAGAUUGCAAGUUUCUGCAGAGUUAUACAUGUUCUGUUACGAUGAGGAUUAUCACUGUUAGGAUGAGGAUUAUAACUGAUGGUUUUAUUUUACGCAACGGAGUAUAGCCCAAUUAUGUACAUGACAUACUGGUGCUAUCCAACCAACUUCAUUAAGUUUUUAUGACGUUUUGAGCGGAAAGAAUCUCUCUUUCCCAAUGUCAUUAAGUCAUUUGUUUUUGUAGCUUGCUAAAAUUUAGAUAUCAAGUUUAGUUAAGUCACCAUGUCAACUGGUGUAUGAGUCAUUUCUUAUACAUAAGUUUUUACUCCACCCUAGAAUUCUAUGUGAAAUAUUAAGUCUCCACUGACUUAAAAAUAAAUUUUCUCCCAUCCUUGAAUCAAGUCUCCACCCUUUUUACAUUGUAAACUAAUUGUCAAAAGGCACCUUUUUAAGGAAUCUAGUCUUUUGCACUUCUGUUUCUUUCAGAUUGGAUUUGGUUUUCCUGAUAUGACUUAAGGAUAUUGUUUGCUUCCUUCUUCCUGUUAUAUUAGCCCAGUUUGAGCCCCAUUUUUGGGGUUAAUUGAUUUUGAAAUAAUUAUUUUUUUAUUUUAUUUUAUUUUUUAUUUUUUAAGAAUGUGUGGUUAAAAAGUAGGAAAAAGUUUUAGUUUACGUGUAAAAUUAUUUUAUUGGGAGAAUGUGUGAUUGAAAAUGAAUGUGGGG